This 1643-nucleotide long non-coding RNA is filed under the name Sus scrofa (pig). Its description in RNAcentral is "lncRNA (ENSSSCG00070000840.1)". The record is from RNAcentral. Lineage: Eukaryota; Metazoa; Chordata; Mammalia; Artiodactyla; Suidae.
ACCAGAGCCACAGCAACGCAGGAUCCGAGCCGUGUCUGCAACCUACACCACAGCUCACGGCAACGCCGGAUCGUUAACCCACUGAGCAAGGGCAGGGACCGAACCCGCGACCUCAUGGUUCCUAGUCGGAUUCGUUAACCACUGCACCACGAUGGGAACUCCUAAUUAUUUGGCUUUUGUAUUUGUUGCAAAAAGGUCAUCACCAUCAGUCUAGGUAAGGUACACUCCCAAGUAGUUACAGUGUGUUUUUUCUCUUGUGAUGAGGUCUUCUGAGGCUAAGAGAUGUUGAGUGGUUUUCCUCAUCCGCUGCUGACCCGAGGUCAGACUUCAGGUCAGUGGGGUCUUGCUCUGACCUCUUUCCAUCAUCAGCCACAGCACAUCCUGUCAGGCCUCCUUUGCUGGGCCAGUGAGACGAGGCAACGGCAGGCAGGAGUUAAGUUUCAUGUUUUGCAUCCCAGCUCUGCCUCUUGUAACUCUGAGAUCUGGGGCAUGUUGCGUAUUCUCUUUGAGUCUAUACCUUCUCCUCUGUAAACAGGGUUAACAGGAGCAUCUUCAAAGGCUGCCUUGGGAAUUAAGACAGCUCACCCCUCCAUGCCCAGCACAGUGGCUGCUGCUCUCAAUGAACACACAAUUCCUCUGUCAGAUAUUUUCUUUUCAGAUUCCAGUUUGAAUUCAACAGAAGUAAUACUUUCUACCUCUUCGACCACACUGAUAUUACCGUUACAUAUCCUGGGGAAAGUGAAACAAAUUGGGCUAUUGCAAGUUUGGUUACUGCUUGACUUGAUCUCAAAAGGAAAACAAACAUAUCAAGUGGGAUUCUAGAUGGGAUUACAUUUUGGAGUCUAUGCCUCAUCCCCACAUCCAGUGGCUUAGUUCUGGCCUGUCUUGGUUUCCCUUCCCCUGCCAAUCGAAGUCUUUAAUGACCUGUGCUGUUUUGUCAUGGGUCCUUCUGGGAACCUCUGCUGGAUACGUGUCUGCUAAAAUGUAUAAGAGCAAGCAUUACAACUCUUUAUUUUGCUGGUUAGGUAUCCAGUUCGCACAAACCAGAUUCCACGUCAGAUUCCUCAACAGAUUUUCUCUAGAAAAUGACUUUUGGCAUCAUAAUCAGUGGCAUUUUCCCUUUUGGCUGUAUUUUUAUUCAACUCUUUUUCCUUCUGAACAGUGUUUGGAACAGUCGGAUUUUUUUCCUGCUUCUGUUUUAUUAUCAAAAUCUACAGUGUGGUGAAAGUGGAUUAAAGAAUGUCCCCAGAGGCUUCCAGGCACAUCACCCUUGCUUUUGAAUAUACAUCUGUAUCUAUAUGAACAUCUAUAAAGAUACAUAUGUAUGCUUCCAAUUGCCUGUUUUUAAUAUAUAUCAAUUGGAAAAUCUCAUUGUCUGGCCUCAGUUUGUGUAACACAACACACUGAUUGCAUGCAGAAAACCAGGUUGGGAAAUAGCUUUAUUCUAAGUCAUAUUUUCCUGAAAUGAUACUAUAAAAGGGUUUGAUUUAAAGGAAUUAGAGCAAGGGAGGCACAUUUAUUUAAGAAAUUAAAGUGCAGUGGUUUUUCAGAUGAAGAAUUUUUCUUUUUUUCUUCCUCAUUUAUUUAGAGCAUCAGAACUAUUGUCAAAUAAAUUUUAGGUAAAACGUGAACUUUUUUUUUUU